GCCAGCCUGGCGGAAUGGUAGACGCAGUGGAUUCAAAAUCCACCGAUGGCAACAUCAUAAGGGUUCAAGUCCCUUGGCUGGUACCA
RNAcentral lists this transfer RNA (86 nucleotides) under Candidatus Pelethosoma merdigallinarum. RNAcentral describes it as "tRNA-Leu". It matches the Rfam family "tRNA". Rfam says of the family: Transfer RNA (tRNA) molecules are approximately 80 nucleotides in length. Their secondary structure includes four short double-helical elements and three loops (D, anti-codon, and T loops). The record is from RNAcentral. Lineage: Bacteria; Bacillati; Mycoplasmatota.